This 550-nucleotide ribosomal RNA is filed under the name uncultured bacterium. RNAcentral describes it as "bacterial SSU rRNA". It matches the Rfam family "Bacterial small subunit ribosomal RNA", at positions 355 to 896 of the family's 1533-position model. The record is from RNAcentral.
UAGGGAAUCUUCGGCAAUGGACGAAAGUCUGACCGAGCAACGCCGCGUGAGUGAAGAAGGUUUUCGGAUCGUAAAGCUCUGUUGUAAGAGAAGAACGGGUGUGAGAGUGGAAAGUUCACACUGUGACGGUAUCUUACCAGAAAGGGACGGCUAACUACGUGCCAGCAGCCGCGGUAAUACGUAGGUCCCGAGCGUUGUCCGGAUUUAUUGGGCGUAAAGCGAGCGCAGGCGGUUUGAUAAGUCUGAAGUUAAAGGCUGUGGCUCAACCAUAGUUCGCUUUGGAAACUGUCAAACUUGAGUGCAGAAGGGGAGAGUGGAAUUCCAUGUGUAGCGGUGAAAUGCGUAGAUAUAUGGAGGAACACCGGUGGCGAAAGCGGCUCUCUGGUCUGUAACUGACGCUGAGGCUCGAAAGCGUGGGGAGCGAACAGGAUUAGAUACCCUGGUAGUCCACGCCGUAAACGAUGAGUGCUAGGUGUUGGAUCCUUUCCGGGAUUCAGUGCCGCAGCUAACGCAUUAAGCACUCCGCCUGGGGAGUACGACCGCAAGGUUG